This 68-nucleotide transfer RNA is filed under the name Marmota monax (woodchuck). Its description in RNAcentral is "tRNA.Ala". Lineage: Eukaryota; Metazoa; Chordata; Mammalia; Rodentia; Sciuridae. The record is from RNAcentral.
GGAUUGUGGCUCAGUGGUACAGCGCUCGCUUAGCAUGCAUGAAGCACUGGGUUCAAUCCUCAGCACCA